RNAcentral lists this transfer RNA (68 nucleotides) under Marmota monax (woodchuck). Its description in RNAcentral is "tRNA.Ala". Lineage: Eukaryota; Metazoa; Chordata; Mammalia; Rodentia; Sciuridae. The record is from RNAcentral.
GGAAUAUAACUCAGUGGUAGAGAGCCUGCCUAGCAUACAGGAGAUACUAGGUUUGAUCCCCAGCACCA